CCCUCCCCCCCCCCAACCAAACACGCCAUAAGGUGUGAGGUAUUUUUCUCCUCCUCACUCCCUUUUCGAUGUAAAGCCUAAAUCCUAGUUGCUUCCAUUCUUUGAAUCUAUACAUCAAAACCCUUGCCUUCUUUUUUGAGCCACCUGGAGGGUCGUUUACACCAUCGACUAGGAGGAGGAGGCUCACAAGAACGAGGACCUUGUUCCUCUUGUUGAGAGUUAUAGAUCUAAGGUCGAUUCCGAGCUGUCCAAGGUGGGUGAUAAUAUCUUGAAGCUGUUGGACUCCAAUCUGAUUCCCUCCACUUCUGCUAGUGAGCUGAGGAUAUUGUUUCAUUUUGCAAGGCUGCGCAGAAAGUAAUAACUUGCUUGUAGUUACAUAUCAGAUACAGCUACCAAGGCAGACGCACAUGGUAGCUGCGGAUGUACUGGUUACUUUAUUUCCUUAUUAGGGGAUUCACCGGUAUCAUGGAGCACAAAAGUAGCAAAGUGUGGUAGCGAGGUCAUAUACUGAAGCUGAAUAGAGCCACGGUAAUCAAUAAUCAUGGUUGGCGAAGCAAUUUAAUAUUGCCAAGAUGAUUACUUAAUUGCUGAAAUACAAGCACCGCAGAUAAACCCAACGCCACUACACAUUCUACCCUCUGAUAUUCAAGACGCUUUACACAUAGCCAUGAAUCCAGUUUCUCACGUGCAAACCAAACAUGUUAAAAUGGAUUGUCAAUUACUUCGGAAGGGAAAGGAACCGGUCCAAGGAAAUCAUGCCACGUAAGAUAUACAUGGACAU
Molecule: long non-coding RNA, 781 nt
Organism: Prosopis cineraria
Lineage: Eukaryota; Viridiplantae; Streptophyta; Magnoliopsida; Fabales; Fabaceae
Exons: 3
Source: RefSeq, a predicted model, not a curated record